CGGAGUGGCUGCGGCAAACGCUCUUCGUUCGGCGAAGGGAGGAAAGUCCGGACUCCACAGGGCAGUGUGCCUCCUAACAGGAGGGAGGGGUGACCCUACGGAAAGUGCAACAGAGAGCAGACCGCCGAUGGCCUUUUCAGGCACAGGCAAGGGUGAAACGGUGGAGUAAGAGCCCACCAGAUCCGGUGGUAACAUCGGAUGCUUGGUAAACCCCACACGGAGCAAGGCCAAAUAGGAAUGCGCCACCGGCUGGCCCGGCCGCUGCAUUCGGGUAGGCCGCUUGAGCUGCGACGUGAGCCACAGCCCAGAUGAAUGUUUGCCCGUUCCCGAAAGGGAAUGAACAGAAUCCGGCUUACACGCCACUUCGGUUU
This 371-nucleotide RNase P RNA is filed under the name Acidobacteriota bacterium. RNAcentral describes it as "Acidobacteria bacterium (freshwater sediment metagenome) RNase P RNA component class A". It matches the Rfam family "Bacterial RNase P class A". From Rfam's summary of the family: Ribonuclease P (RNase P) is a ubiquitous endoribonuclease, found in archaea, bacteria and eukarya as well as chloroplasts and mitochondria. Its best characterised activity is the generation of mature 5'-ends of tRNAs by cleaving the 5'-leader elements of precursor-tRNAs. Cellular RNase Ps are ribonucleoproteins. Lineage: Bacteria; Pseudomonadati; Acidobacteriota. The record is from RNAcentral.